UGUUUGAUAAUUAGUGCAUUCCGUUGAAUUGAGUCCAAUCCUUGUAAAACACGACCAAACAUGACAGAUUCAAUGUUCAAAGGAAAGCCGCGAUCCUUCAUGUAAUCACCUAGGUCCCGAUCUCCCUCAAAUUUCCAGACAAGCCAUUUCUCACCCUUAGUAUAUUGUGAGUUAGUUUUUUCAGCAACAAAACUACCAAGAAAGUCUGCACAUGUCUCAGGAGCUGCUCUUGAUAGCCUAUAAUUGAACCAUUCUUCAAAUUCACCACAUUCUGCAGCACCUUGAACACCAAUCUUUACCUGUUUAAGAAUGACCUUUUCCUUGAA
RNAcentral lists this unclassified non-coding RNA (326 nucleotides) under Hevea brasiliensis (rubber tree). The record is from RNAcentral. Lineage: Eukaryota; Viridiplantae; Streptophyta; Magnoliopsida; Malpighiales; Euphorbiaceae.